CCUACGGGGGGCGGCAGCUAAGAAUAUUCCGCAAUGGACGAAAGUCUGACGGAGCGACGCCGCGUGGAUGAUGAUGGCCGAAAGGUUGUAAAGUCCUUUUGUCGACGAAGAAUAAGUGUGGGAGGGAAUGCCCGCAUGAUGACGUUAGUCGACGAAUAAGCCCCGGCUAAUUACGUGCCAGCAGCCCCGGUCA
Molecule: ribosomal RNA, 193 nt
Filed under: uncultured bacterium
Lineage: Bacteria
Description: partial 16S rRNA
Rfam family: Bacterial small subunit ribosomal RNA
Source: RNAcentral